This 229-nucleotide ribosomal RNA is filed under the name uncultured bacterium. Its description in RNAcentral is "partial 16S ribosomal RNA". It matches the Rfam family "Bacterial small subunit ribosomal RNA", at positions 568 to 796 of the family's 1533-position model. The record is from RNAcentral.
AGUGUAGGCGGCUACCUAAGUCGGAUGUGAAAUCCCCGGGCUCAACCUGGGAAUUGCAUUCGAUACUGGGUAGCUAGAAUUUGGUAGAGGUAAGUGGAAUUCCGGGUGUAGCGGUGAAAUGCGUAGAUAUCCGGAGGAACAUCAGUGGCGAAGGCGGCUUACUGGACCAAAAUUGACGCUGAGGCUCGAAAGCGUGGGGAGCAAACAGGAUUAGAUACCCUGGUAGUCC